RNAcentral lists this small nuclear RNA (190 nucleotides) under Maylandia zebra (zebra mbuna). RNAcentral's name for it is "U2 spliceosomal RNA (ENSMZEG00005025864.1)". It matches the Rfam family "U2 spliceosomal RNA". Rfam says of the family: U2 is a small nuclear RNA (snRNA) component of the spliceosome (involved in pre-mRNA splicing). Complementary binding between U2 snRNA (in an area lying towards the 5' end but 3' to hairpin I) and the branchpoint sequence (BPS) of the intron results the bulging out of an unpaired adenosine, on the BPS, which initiates a nucleophilic attack at the intronic 5' splice site, thus starting the first of two transesterification reactions that mediate splicing. The record is from Rfam by way of RNAcentral. Lineage: Eukaryota; Metazoa; Chordata; Actinopteri; Cichliformes; Cichlidae.
AUCGCUUCUCGGCCUUUUGGCUAAGAUCAAGUGUAGUAGCUGUUCUUAUCAGUUUAAUAUCUGAUACGCCCCGAUUUGGGGGCAACGUAUUAAACGCAUUUUUAGAACAGGGAGCCGAAUAAGGGGCUCGCUCCGUUCGCUCCACGCAUCGACCCGGUAUUGCAGCGCCUCCGGGAACGGUGCCCCCUUU